This 178-nucleotide non-coding RNA is filed under the name Clostridium tepidiprofundi DSM 19306. RNAcentral describes it as "6S / SsrS RNA". It matches the Rfam family "6S / SsrS RNA". Rfam says of the family: E. coli 6S RNA was the first non coding RNA to be sequenced, but its function was unknown until recently. The record is from Rfam by way of RNAcentral. Lineage: Bacteria; Bacillati; Bacillota; Clostridia; Eubacteriales; Clostridiaceae.
GUUGUCCUGCUGUAUUUGUAUAUUAAGUUAUGUUGAAUCAACAUAAAUGAAUUGGGAAUCCAGCUCUUCUUGUGGAAUGAUACUUAUUUUGAUUAUAAGAACAUGAAAUGAGAAGGAGAUACCCACUUAAUGGGUUUGGAUUUAGACAAUAACUUAUUUACGGUACAGCGGGGUUAAU